RNAcentral lists this ribosomal RNA (1498 nucleotides) under metagenome. RNAcentral describes it as "bacterial SSU rRNA". It matches the Rfam family "Bacterial small subunit ribosomal RNA". The record is from RNAcentral.
GAGUUUGAUCAUGGCUCAGAUUGAACGCUGGCGGCAGGCCUAACACAUGCAAGUCGAACGGUAACAGGAAACAGCUUGCUGUUUCGCUGACGAGUGGCGGACGGGUGAGUAAUGUCUGGGAAACUGCCUGAUGGAGGGGGAUAACUACUGGAAACGGUAGCUAAUACCGCAUAACGUCGCAAGACCAAAGAGGGGGACCCUCGGGCCUCUUGCCAUCGGAUGUGCCCAGAUGGGAUUAGCUUGUUGGUGGGGUAACGGCUCACCAAGGCGACGAUCCCUAGCUGGUCUGAGAGGAUGACCAGCCACACUGGAACUGAGACACGGUCCAGACUCCUACGGGAGGCAGCAGUGGGGAAUAUUGCACAAUGGGCGCAAGCCUGAUGCAGCCAUGCCGCGUGUAUGAAGAAGGCCUUCGGGUUGUAAAGUACUUUCAGCGGGGAGGAAGGGAGUAAAGUUAAUACCUUUGCUCAUUGACGUUACCCGCAGAAGAAGCACCGGCUAACUCCGUGCCAGCAGCCGCGGUAAUACGGAGGGUGCAAGCGUUAAUCGGAAUUACUGGGCGUAAAGCGCACGCAGGCGGUUUGUUAAGUCAGAUGUGAAAUCCCCGGGCUCAACCUGGGAACUGCAUCUGAUACUGGCAAGCUUGAGUCUCGUAGAGGGGGGUAGAAUUCCAGGUGUAGCGGUGAAAUGCGUAGAGAUCUGGAGGAAUACCGGUGGCGAAGGCGGCCCCCUGGACGAAGACUGACGCUCAGGUGCGAAAGCGUGGGGAGCAAACAGGAUUAGAUACCCUGGUAGUCCACGCCGUAAACGAUGUCGACUUGGAGGUUGUGCCCUUGAGGCGUGGCUUCCGGAGCUAACGCGUUAAGUCGACCGCCUGGGGAGUACGGCCGCAAGGUUAAAACUCAAAUGAAUUGACGGGGGCCCGCACAAGCGGUGGAGCAUGUGGUUUAAUUCGAUGCAACGCGAAGAACCUUACCUGGUCUUGACAUCCACGGAAGUUUUCAGAGAUGAGAAUGUGCCUUCGGGAACCGUGAGACAGGUGCUGCAUGGCUGUCGUCAGCUCGUGUUGUGAAAUGUUGGGUUAAGUCCCGCAACGAGCGCAACCCUUAUCCUUUGUUGCCAGCGGUCCGGCCGGGAACUCAAAGGAGACUGCCAGUGAUAAACUGGAGGAAGGUGGGGAUGACUCAAGUCAUCAUGGCCCUUACGACCAGGGCUACACACGUGCUACAAUGGCGCAUACAAAGAGAAGCGACCUCGCGAGAGCAAGCGGACCUCAUAAAGUGCGUCGUAGUCCGGAUUGGAGUCUGCAACUCGACUCCAUGAAGUCGGAAUCGCUAGUAAUCGUGGAUCAGAAUGCCACGGUGAAUACGUUCCCGGGCCUUGUACACACCGCCCGUCACACCAUGGGAGUGGGUUGCAAAAGAAGUAGGUAGCUUAACCUUCGGGAGGGCGCUUACCACUUUGUGAUUCAUGACUGGGGUGAAGUCGGAACAAGGUA